RNAcentral lists this ribosomal RNA (220 nucleotides) under uncultured Entrophospora. Its description in RNAcentral is "uncultured Claroideoglomus partial small subunit ribosomal RNA". It matches the Rfam family "Eukaryotic small subunit ribosomal RNA", at positions 591 to 811 of the family's 1831-position model. Lineage: Eukaryota; Fungi; Glomeromycota; Glomeromycetes; Entrophosporales; Entrophosporaceae. The record is from RNAcentral.
CCAAUAGCGUAUAUUAAAGUUGUUGCAGUUAAAAAGCUCGUAGUUGAAUUUCGGGAUUGACAUGACGGUCGUGCCUUACGGGGUAUGAACUGUUGCUGUUGAUUUCUCACCUUCUGGAGAAACUUGAUGUCCUUAAUUGGGUGUCUUGCGGAUCCAGGACCUUUACCUUGAAAAAAUUAGAGUGUUUAAAGUAGGCAUUUUGCUCGAAUACAUUAGCAUG